Molecule: unclassified non-coding RNA, 18 nt
Filed under: Chlamydomonas reinhardtii
Lineage: Eukaryota; Viridiplantae; Chlorophyta; Chlorophyceae; Chlamydomonadales; Chlamydomonadaceae
Description: small RNA Cre_1302
Source: RNAcentral
CGGAGGCUCCGAGGACGG